This 35-nucleotide transfer RNA is filed under the name Dactylorhiza saccifera. Its description in RNAcentral is "partial tRNA-Leu". The record is from RNAcentral. RNAcentral also lists the same sequence under 1 other name. Lineage: Eukaryota; Viridiplantae; Streptophyta; Magnoliopsida; Asparagales; Orchidaceae.
AAAAUGAGAAUAAAAAGAGAUAGGUGCAGAGACUC